CACCCACAGGUGUGGAGGGGCAGGCCACCCCUUCAAGUACCUGGUCCAGGCCUGGGACUCCUGAGCCCUGCCAGCCAAGGCCUCUUCUGCCUACCCAGACACGCCUCCUUGGACAGUGGGGGAGGUGCCGCUCAAGCCUGAUGCUGAUCUCUUUUGACAGCUGCUCCUAAGGCUGGCAGGAUGGUAGGCAGUGGGGGAAGGGACCAGAUUUAAAGGUCCAGUUGCUCCGUCCCCUGCCAGACCUUGGCAGGCAAGCGCGGGUGAGCAUCCUCUGAGGGCUUGGGUCUUGCGUAUGUAGAAGGUCAGAGACCCCUCUACCCUAGUUUCCACUUCUUGGUAUCAUAAAGACCACUGGUCUUCAUGUCCGCUCCCACCCUACAGGCCGCCAGGGAGACCAGUGCCGCCCACCAUGCGAUUUCGACGCCUGACCCCUGGUUACUUCCGGGUGCUACAGAUGCAGGUAGCUGGUGAGCUGAAGGCAGAGCCCCGCAGUCUGCUGGUGGGAGUUGUGGCUACAGUGCUAGCUGUCCUCGGGCUGGGUGGCUCCUGCUAUGCCGUCUGGAAGAUGGUGGGGCAGCGGCGGGUGCCACGGGCCCC
Molecule: long non-coding RNA, 597 nt
Organism: Cercocebus atys (sooty mangabey)
Lineage: Eukaryota; Metazoa; Chordata; Mammalia; Primates; Cercopithecidae
Exons: 2
Source: RefSeq, a predicted model, not a curated record